UACGGGGGGGGCAAGCGUUGUUCGGAAUUACUGGGCGUAAAGGGCUCGUAGGCGGCCAACUAAGUCCGAGGUGAAAUCCCAAGGCUUAACCUUGGAACUGCGUCGGAUACUGGAUGGCUUGAAUUCGGGAGAGGGAUGCAGAAUUCCUGGUGUAGCGGUGGAAUGCGCAGAUAUCAGGAGGAACACCAGUGGCGAAGGCGGGUCUCUGGGCAGUAACUGACGCUGAGGAGCGAAAGCGUGGGGAGCAAACAGG
Molecule: ribosomal RNA, 253 nt
Filed under: uncultured bacterium
Lineage: Bacteria
Description: partial 16S ribosomal RNA
Rfam family: Bacterial small subunit ribosomal RNA
Source: RNAcentral